AAGGAAAUGAAUUGUUAAAAUAAGAACAAUGGAUUAAAUAUGGGCCAGGCCAGAGCACCAAAAAAUAUGUUGAAACAUAAUUGGGCUUGUUUGGGUAGGGUCAGAUGUUAGGGGGAAAAAAACCCAUCGCGCAUCGACCCGACCCGACCUAAUAGCAAAUUGGCAGAAAUGAACCCUCCCAAAACCCUAGCAGUUGAACAAAACCCCAGGGUAUCUCACCUCGCUUCGCUUACCCUGCUGCGACCAAGAAACCUCCUGCUCUUCUUUUCCAUUCUAACUCUCGCCAAUACAGUGAACUAUGAGGCCGCCUAGAGGUGGCGGUUUUAGGGGGGGUAGAGACGGGGGACGCGGUGGUCGCGGCGGCGGUUCUCGUGGUCGCGGUUUUGGCGGUCGCGGUGGUGGUGGUGGGUUUCGUGACGAGGGACCUCCUUCUGAAGUCGUCGAAGUUUCCACUUUUCUUCAUGCCUGUGAGGGUGAUGCUGUGACAAAGCUCACCAAUGAGAAAAUACCAUACUUCAAUGCCCCAAUCUUUCUACAAAACAAGACCCAGAUAGGGAAAGUUGACGAAAUCUUUGGUCCCAUCAAUGAAUCUUAUUUUUCUAUUAAAAUGAUGGAAGGCAUUGUGGCAACUUCAUAUUCGCCUGGGGACAAAUUCUACAUUGAUCCAAAUAAGCUUUUACCUCUUGCAAGAUUUCUUCCGCAACCAAAGGGACAGGCACAAGCUGCUGCAAGAGGUGGUCGUGGAGGCAGCAGAGGUGGCAGUAGAGGUGGUGGCCGAGGAGGUGGUGGCUUUCGUGGAAGGGGGGGUCCAAGAGGCGGUAGAGGUGGACCUCCUAGAGGAGGUGCCCGUGGAGGUGGCUUUAGGGGCCGAGGGAGGUCAUAGAAGAAUUUUGUGUAAUAUUAUUGUGCUUUUAUCCAUGAAAGGUUUUGUUUUAUGGUGCAAUGGACAAACAACAAUCAAUGUUUGGAUACUAAUUUGAACUUUGUUGUUGAAGAAGUGAAUUUUUGUUACACAUCUAUUGGUGUUUUUCUAACCUCUAGAUCUUCUAUUAUCAAUUGUUCCAGAGUUCUAUGAAUAUUUGCUUACCAUCAAAUGGAUUUUUUCGGAAA
This 1110-nucleotide unclassified non-coding RNA is filed under the name Hevea brasiliensis (rubber tree). The record is from RNAcentral. Lineage: Eukaryota; Viridiplantae; Streptophyta; Magnoliopsida; Malpighiales; Euphorbiaceae.